UGGGGAAUCUUGCACAAUGGGGGAAACCCUGAUGCAGCGACGCCGCGUGAACGAUGAAGCCCUUCGGGGUGUAAAGUUCUUUCGACAGGAACGAUAAUGACGGUACCGGGAGAAGAAGCUGCGGCUAACUACGUGCCAGCAGCCGCGGUAAUACGUAGGCAGCAAGCGUUGUUCGGAGUUACUGGGCGUAAAGAGUGCGUAGGCGGUUUUCUAAGUUCGGUGUGAAAUCUCCCGGCUUAACUGGGAGGGUGCGCCGAAGACUGGGAAGCUGGAGUGUGGGAAAGGCAGGCGGAAUUCCUGGUGUAGCGGUGAAAUGCGUAGAUAUCAGGAGGAACACCGGCGGUGUAGACGGCUUGCUAGACCAUAACUGACGCUGAGGCACGAAAGCGUGGGUAGCAAGCA
This 402-nucleotide ribosomal RNA is filed under the name uncultured bacterium. RNAcentral's name for it is "bacterial SSU rRNA". It matches the Rfam family "Bacterial small subunit ribosomal RNA", at positions 355 to 774 of the family's 1533-position model. The record is from RNAcentral.